Molecule: long non-coding RNA, 3178 nt
Organism: Rhea pennata
Lineage: Eukaryota; Metazoa; Chordata; Aves; Rheiformes; Rheidae
Exons: 3
Source: RefSeq, a predicted model, not a curated record
AGCCGCCGGGCGCGGGGCCGCCCCCGGGGGCCGGGCCGAGGCCCCGCGUGGUCCCGUGGGAGGGGAAGGGCGCGGCGCGUCUCGCCGCGUGUCACGCGUUUCACCGCGCUUCGGGCACCUCGGGCAAGUACGUGUCGUGUUCACCCCCCGCGCCCGGCCUCGCCCCCCGCGAGGUCCCGUGUGCCGAGCGUUUCACACCCCGAGACCAUUUCCACUCGCUUGCUUCUGCGAAAAGGUCACGGAAGGGUGCGUAGGUUUUGGGCGCUCUAGGGAAAAACACACAGACACACACGCACCGUUUUUCUGCAAAACGCAGGAACGUCAUCUUCUGAAGCAGGAAAUGAAAUGUGGCGGCACCAGCCAGAAGGGAUGGAGAAGUUUGAAAAGUAAUCUGGCAAGGAUCAUGAUACCCCAAAGAAAGGCUACAGGAUUUCUUUCUACUUUUGCCGUGGCAUCAAAGUUUUAAGGGAAUACGCACCUCUGCAAGUACUGCAGGAUGAUAACUCUGAAGUGAUUCACUUCCGUUAUGCAGAUUAAAAAAAAAAAAAAAAGUCACUAUUCUACAUCCUUCCAGUCUCUCUGAGCACCAUUAUUCAAAAUAAAAAUAUUCUUAGCCAUGCUCUAAGAGUAGGAAUUAAAAAUGUAUCAGUAAUAGUGAUGAAUAAUUUUUGUAUGGAUUUCAAGAGGCUAGCAAAAGUUCAGAGCUGUGUAUACAAGAAUGUAUGUACAUAUGUCACAUGUUGAGAGGAAAUACUCGGUACUUUUCAGUGAUCAAAUUGUAAAGAAGAAAUUUGAUACCUAACUAGUGUAUGUGUGAAAACAAGACAUGCAUCUGGUUAUUCAUUCCAUUUUCAUUUACUCGUGUGAUUAGACCCGUGGAAGGUUGCAUACAUACUCCUGUUUAAGUUGAUAACAGCUUGAAGUUGUUUGAAUGAUACUAUUGGAAAAAGUUCUUAAGUAUCAUUUUCACUAGAGAAAAAGAAAAUGCUGUGAUUGUUGAAUGUCCAGUGGUAUUUUCUUUGAGUCUAUGCAUUAAUUGCUCAGGUAAGUCUUCUACUGGGUUAGUCCAUUUGCAUCACUUACUAAUUGUCAUGCACCUUCAAUUGAACACAAACUUUUACAGGUCCUUGCCUAAGCUAAUGUUUCCAUUUUCCUCUGCUAAGUCACAUGUCAUAUCUUCUAAUCUCUAGACCUAUAUGGGCUGCAUUUAUGAGUGCAUGUCAUUCUGGCCUACAUUGUACAUAAGAUCAUAUUCUGAUUGAUUUUUCCCCCCCGAAUGAUUUAUGUUCCUUUAAUAUGUAACUCAGACUUCUCUUGUGUACAUAUGUAAGGUGGUGCGGUAUAGCUGUUCCUCAUCUCUAGCAAAUAUAUAGGAUACUGUCAUUAAAAUUACAUUGGUAAAUCACCUAGACCACUUUCUGUAAACUUUGUAUCAACAAUUAAUCAUUAUCAGCCUGUGUCUCACUCUGCCUUCAUUCUUGUACACAGAUAAUUCUGUUUCUAACAUAAAACCUUGAUCCUAGUUCUGCUAGCAUAACAGAUAUGUAUACUUCAUUUUUUUGUGAUAAAAUUCCUAUAAAUAUUACUAGAUUGUAGAAUUCUAAUGAUAAAAAAUACCUUAAGGGUGUUUUUUUCCCUAUUGAGGUCAGCCUUCUCUAAAAGCAAUAACCACGCCUAUUCCAGACCCAGUAAAAUUCUUUUCUUUUACAGCUCCUGGGAACACAGAGCACAGCACAUUUUAACUACAGCUAUAGAUUCAACUGCGAAAGAUCUCUAUCAAGCAUCACAGAGAAUUUGAGGCAGCUGGCAGUUAUCGGCUCAAGCAGAUAGUCAGUAGAGGUGUAGAAGAUAAAUAGAUAGUAGAAAGCAAUCUGAAAACCCAGGAAAGAUUAUAAAUAUCUUUUCUAGAAGGGAGCUAACAGCUCAGGUAGAUCACCGAUCAACUCAACUCCCAGAUCAGUUGUGUGUCUAAUACUACUGAAAAUACAACAGUUUUACUCUUCAUGCCUGUCAGCUCUGAAGUAGUAUUCAAGUUGUGGGAAAUGCAGUUUGAUGUAUUCAUUUAUAGAAAUCACUAUCACCCUAAAGUGAAGAAUACUACUGGAAAACAGACAAUCAAAAUCUCAGGGACAGCUUGACCCUCUUUUAAAUUACAGUUGCCAGAAUAAAAAAAGGUUUACACCCCCUUCUUAUCCUUCUUACUUUACAUGCUACUGUAUUUAUACUGUCAAUGCAACCAUUAAAUAAUAUUAUAUUAAUCACGGUCCUCUUUGGAGCACUUCUUUCUGUAGGUGUGAGUUUAUGAUGUAUAAUUGCUAGUUGCCUUAAAGUAGCUGAGCCAUUCCAUUUUCCCUAGCAUUAGCCACAGAAAUGAGAAAGGUGAAUGUCUAUGAAUAGGAGAAGAAUGUGGUGAUUUUAAUGGCUGUAUAUUAGAACAGUCCUACAAAAUAUCUCUCUAUUCAAGUCAGUCUAAUAUUUCCCAAAUUCCUACCUAUGGAUAGUAUAGAGUCUUGCACAAGAUUGUCAAGAAACGGAUAAUGUUUGAUAACUCUUCUUGCCCAGUUUUGAGAUGUAGGACUAUUAGUAGUGGAGAGAUAGUGUCAGGAGAUUUUUUAUGAGAGUAAGCACAGAAAAGAAGUCUGUAAAUGGCACAUAGAAGUGGUAUAACUACUCCACUGACAUCUGUCUUUAUUAUGUUAACCCAAUCGAUGGACCCCACAAAGCAGCUGAAGUUGGUGAAAUGUGAAUUCUUGAUAGCAGAAUUCCAUGGAGCGGAACAACAACAGCAAAAAAGACCCCUGCUCAAUUUGCUUUGAAAGGUACUUUAAAUAAAAUUUCUGUCUGUAUCAAAGGAGUUGAAAAUCACUCUGCACGUUUACACUGGAAGAGUAUAAUCCCAAGACAUACCCAUCAAGUAUUUUAAAAUAUUAGCUACCACUAUUACUUAACAGACAACUACACAUUAUAUUCACAAAAUCAACUGACAUUUAGGUGUGUCCAUGUUACUGCUUAUAUAAGUAAUGUGCAUGCUUUGAACAGACCUCUGUAAUUUUUAAGAGUAUGAAAUGAAUAAAAAAGUAAUUGAUGUACAUGUUUUUAUUUUUAUUAUAUACUGUUCUAAUAUGUACUUUAGAAUGCUACUGAAUAAUAAAGUGCCCCUAUACGUUUCAGUUCCGAA